UAUCUCUGUAGAGUCUGCAUAUCAAUAAGCGGAGGAAAAGAAACUAACAAGGAUUCCCUUAGUAACGGCGAGUGAAGCGGGAAGAGCUCAAAUUUGAAAUCUUCAAGGUUCUACCUUGACGAAUUGUAGUUUAAAGAAGUGUUUUCUGUUAGAUGAGUAGCAAAAGUUCCUUGGAAUGGGACAUCAUAGAGGGUGAGAAUCCCGUAUUUGGUUAUUCAUUCUAGCUUUGUGAUACACUUUCAAAGAGUCGGAUUGUUUGGGAAUGCAGUCCAAAAUGGGUGGUAAAUUUCAUCUAAAGCUAAAUAUUGGCGAGAGACCGAUAGCGAACAAGUACCGUGAGGGAAAGAUGAGAAGAACUUUGAAAAGAGAGUUAAACAGUACGUGAAAUUGUCAAAAGGGAAGCGUUUGACACCAGUGUUGUUUUUCCGAAAAUCAAUUACGAAUGGCUUGAUUUUGUGUCGUAUUGACCUUAUCAGCUUUCUUCACUUUUUUCGAGUCUUUCUUAAUGCACUUUUCGGUUAACAAGUCAACAUCAAUUUCUUUUGUUGUAAAAGAGUAUUCGGAAGGUGGCUUUCUUUUCGGAGAAAGUGUUUAUAGCCCUAUACUUCUACAAUCGGAGAGAUUGAGGUCUGCAGCGUAGAUCCUUCGGGGUUAGAUACACUUGUGCUAAGUUGUAGCUUUUCAUAGACAACUUGUUGUCUAUGUUUAGUCAUGCGGCUUACUCGCUUGUGCUAUUUUACCUACGCUUAGGAUGUUGACUGAUAUGUAGUCGUA
This 774-nucleotide ribosomal RNA is filed under the name uncultured Neocallimastigales. RNAcentral describes it as "partial large subunit ribosomal RNA". It matches the Rfam family "Eukaryotic large subunit ribosomal RNA", at positions 24 to 644 of the family's 3401-position model. Lineage: Eukaryota; Fungi; Neocallimastigomycota; Neocallimastigomycetes; Neocallimastigales. The record is from RNAcentral.